UACGUAGGGUGCGAGCGUUUAAUCGGAAUUACUGGGCGUAAAGCGUGCGCAGGCGGUGAUGUAAGACAGAUGUGAAAUCCCCGGGCUCAACCUGGGACCUGCAUUUGUGACUGCAUCGCUAGAGUACGGGCAGAGGGGGAUGGAAUUCCGCGUGUAGCAGUGAAAUGCGUAGAUAUGCGGAGGAACACCGAUGGCGAAGGCAAUCCCCUGGGCCUGUACUGACGCUCAUGCACGAAAGCGUGGGGAGCAAACAGG
This 255-nucleotide ribosomal RNA is filed under the name uncultured bacterium. RNAcentral's name for it is "partial 16S ribosomal RNA". It matches the Rfam family "Bacterial small subunit ribosomal RNA", at positions 524 to 776 of the family's 1533-position model. The record is from RNAcentral.